Mercenaria mercenaria is the source of this 492-nucleotide long non-coding RNA. RefSeq lists it as uncharacterized. The record is from RefSeq and is a predicted model, not a curated record. The transcript is spliced from 4 exons. NCBI's taxonomy places the organism in Eukaryota, Metazoa, Mollusca, Bivalvia, Venerida, Veneridae.
AUUAAUUGUAAAAAUGAAAUGAUUCCCAAUGUGCCAAUACAUUUGUAUAUAAAAGGCAAGCGGAAGAUUUCAUGCACAUUUUGAACAUAGGAGAUUAUUUUCGAUCACCCACACGAUAUCUUACACAAGCAUGGUUAGCAAGUUGUCAGUUGCCCUUCUUUUUCUCGGAACUGUUUGCUUCCUAAUGGAGAUCAAAGAAGCGGAAGCCGGUAUUAGAACUGGGCAGGGACCAGGACCAAACCAAGAACCAUGUGUGAGCGGACCAGGCACAGAUGGCAAGACAUAUCAAUAUGAUGCAACCUGGAAAGACAGUCUAGGAAGAUCAUGCAAGUGCUUCCCUCAUGGCAUUUCUGUUUGCACGAAGGAUGAAGACUAAAUAACUCUCUGAAAUGAAAGAACCUACUCUGCUUGAAUGUCAACAAAAAAAAAAAUAAUUCGAUUCCAUUUUGUUCAGUGCCAUGGAAUUUAUGAUCAAUAAAACUGUUAUCUUUA